CGCUCAUUUUGGAUACAAUCUAAACCAACACUGGAUAGCCCAGACCACAGGAGAUGGGAAAUACCACAGCAAGUGUAGGCUUGGGACAGAACGCAUGACUGUCUCCUUCCCUGGACUCCGCUCGCUUGUCCACCUGCCCGCUAGGUGGCGGUGUCUCUGGGCUCCGACUGGGCGCUCUGCUCUGCUCUGCUCGGGCGUUGCAGUCUUCCGAGGAAACGCCAUCUACUCACAGCGCCUGCUUCCACCUUCCUUCCCAUGUUACCAGAUCUGCACUUCCAGCCCUGCCAUGGUGCCACCUCGGCGUGCCACAGGUUCGAAGAAAGAAUAUGGCUGGAUGCAGCUCUUCCAGUGGUUAUACACACUACGUGGAGGAUGUGAGAGGAACUGGGAAGCAGACCAGAUACCACCUAGAUCCGCGUCAUACCUGUCCUUCCACAUCUGAAAGACCAAGAGCACAGGCUCUGGACGCGCAGGCUCAGCGGCCGUGGCUCACGGGCCCAGCAGCUCCGCGGCAUGUGGGAUCUUCCCGGACCAGGGCAUGAACCCGUAUCCCCUGCAUCGGCAGGCGGACUCUCAAUCACUGCGCCACCCGCCUCGUUUCAAUGUUGAUGUGUUAUUCAUUGACUGGAAUAAAAAUGAGUUCCUACCUAGCCAGGGCUUGGAGCAGGGCUUGGCGUGAGGAAAGCUCUCCAGCACGGGGACUAUUAUUACCAUUAGUAUUUUGUGGUUCGCCCUUGGAGCCCUACGAGACAAAGGAGACCUGCACCCAGGGCCUGGGCCAGCGGGGACCUCAGGACAAGCUCUCUACCAUCACUGGCUGCACAGGGGAUGCAGAGCAGCUGGGGCGGCUACUGGGGGCUCCAAACACUCUCAGAGGAUGCCCAGGGGCUCCAGAACCAAAGGGAAGACUCCGUGUGAGAACCCUGGACUAGACAGACCUGGGGGAGACCGAGUGCAAUCGUGGCUGCAAUGUCAGACCUCCUAUCUGGAGCCAGAAUGCUCUUCCCUGCCCCCCACCCCCCUGCAAGGCCCCGGGGACAAGCCACUUCACCCUGUGACCCCAGGGAGGUGAGAUGUGGUGCUAUGACUCUGGGUGAGAGAUGCACGUACCUUGGGGCCAGCAGGUCCCUGUUCUCCAGCUGCUCCAGGCUCCCCCUGUUGCACGACAAAAUUGGAGUGAAAUGGGCACAAAGUCAGGUACACAGAAUCUGGUGUCCCCAGAUGGGCCGUGUGUUAGGGAACUCAGAGGGGGCCAGGAGGCUCGGCUCAGCUCAGGCUGAGAGGCGCAGGGCUCCCUGUGCCUCCCGUGCAGGCUCCACCCCUUGGGAAGCACCUCCACCGGCCAGCAAGCCCCUCUCCCUCCCAGCUCCCUCCAGCUUCUUGCUGGAAGAUCCUUCUGUCCCAUGUUAGUUGUUGGUGAUUCCACCCAUGUCCGUCUGGCCACCUCCCUCCGGUCUCCUAAGUCAGCCACCUCCUCGGGAGCAGGGACCAGACCCUCUGCCCCUCUUUAUUUCUAUCCUGCUCGAGGAGCAAGGGCUCAGAAAGUUUUUGCCAAUUGCCUGGGUGGUUGACAAUUUCCGUGGACAGCCCAGGCGGUUCCUGUCUGCUGGUGAAAGACCCAAACUGUGGGAGGAAACAUGGGGGCCAGGGCGAGGCGUUAGAACACCCAGCCUCCUGGAGCGGGUCGGGAUGGGGGGAUUUGUUUCUGUUGGAAACAGGGCAGAACUGUGGGGAAUAAAUGAA
Molecule: long non-coding RNA, 1743 nt
Organism: Globicephala melas (long-finned pilot whale)
Lineage: Eukaryota; Metazoa; Chordata; Mammalia; Artiodactyla; Delphinidae
Source: RefSeq, a predicted model, not a curated record